UACAAGCCCUAAAAGAACAUCCUUCUUCUCAUGCACUUUGAGUUUAUCUUCCAAAUUUUUUGUCGGCAACAAGUAUCAAUACCUAAAUUCAAGAGUUGCUGCCACAUAACACCCGAGGUGUUGUAUUUGUUAGAUGAACUAUGAGGAUGACGAGUAUUUGGCGAAAAAAUUUCACAAACAUCUAUACCAUCCUGAGAGCUUUAAUAUUUACUAAAGUAGUGAGUGGGCAAGAAAGUCAAUUUACACAAAGGUGAGGUAUAUGGAUCUCUUUUUAAUGAUACUUGAUCAAAUUCCUAUUUGAUCCGCAAGAAAAUGUAAAGAACCAAGAAAUGGCAAUAAGAAUACAAUGGUCUUACCGUUUCUACCAUCGUCACAUGGAUAUCAAAGCAAGAUGCAAUAAGAUCAUGUUAGUUAUGUUUGUAGGUAUCAUGUUGAAUAUUCGAGAACUUGUUGAAGAUUUUAACGAUGUUGCUUACUACUUCGACUCUUACCAAACUCAUAUGAUCAAUGAUUGGGUUUUAUGGGAACUUAAUUGUUUCUAGAAACUCUUGGCUAUUCAUCCUUACUAUAAUAUAGCAUUUUUUUAAGCACAAAAAUAUAUUUUAUUAUUGCGUUGUUUUCACAGUGGCAUGAGUUUUCAACCAAUGAUUGAGUAUGUAAUGUCGGUCAAGAACCCAUGGCAUUGUAACAAUAACCAUAACAAUAAAUAGUAUUUCUAUGAUUAAAAAAUGUUAUAUCAUAAUACGGAUGAAUAGUCAAAAGCUUCUAAAAAUAAUUAAGUUCCCAUAAAAUCAAAUCAUUUGUCCUAAGAGUUCAGCAUGAGUCGAAAGAGUAAGCACCGCUAUCAAAAUGUUCAACAAGUUCUCAAAUAUUCAACAUGGUAACUGCAAACAUCACCUUCUUGAGUCUUUCCCCAAUAUCCUUGUGGUUGUGGUAGAAAGGACAAGAACAUAGGAAAUUUGUUGACAUCAGCUUGGUUCUCUGCAUUCUCUUGCAUAUCAACUAGAAAUUUGAUCAAGUGCCAUAAAUAGGAGAUCUAAUACAUUGCACCUUUCGUAUAAAUUGAUUUUUUCGUACACUCAGAUUUCGCAAACUCUUGAGGUCAUCGAAGGUUCAGACUUUUCCAACAACUAGUCUUUGAGGAAAAAGCAUUGCACAACGCAACCUUUUGGAACAAAAAAAACUUGAAAAAUGAAGACUAUGCAAGAUUAAAUGCCAAAGCAACAUACAUAUAUAGUGUAGUACUUAGUCCAGGCUUUAAUACAACCACGUACACAUUGCUUGACCCAUGUGAGGUUUUCAAUCUUCCAACCCUUAAAUUAGCACAAAGAGUUGUAUAGAUUCCUCUAAUUGGCUUUUUCGGCAGGUUAAGAUUCAAUCUAGACAUCCACAUCAAAUCUAUAUUUAUCUUGUUAGUAAAAAUGCUAGUGAUUAGUGGUGUGACCCUAUGUGGUCCACUUACAUUGUCCGCUAAUGAUAAUAGAUUGCAUAAUGAAGUACCUGCUUUUGGUUUUGGUCUGCAAUCAUCAACUAAGUUUUGGUUUUGGUCUACAAUCAUCAACUAAUUUUUUUUUUGGCUUGCCAUCAAUGGAGUCCAUCUUCAGUGCACACUUGAACAUACUCUAUAAUGGAGGAGUCUAUAAAAGGAUGCAUCUUCAGCUUCAUGAGUCCCUGAACUCACUCUACUACAGAGCUACACAUCAUCUGAGCUGCAUAGAAGAGUUUGGAAGGCUCAUAAAAGUUUUACACAUCAGAGUUACAACAACCAUUCAAAACAACAAGGAAAGCAAUGGCGGGAGUCAUGCCUCCUAAAGAAAAGCAUUCAAAGUAUGGUGUUGAAUCAUCUCAUGGAUAUCUAGUGCCUGCGGAGACAACGCUACUUCAAGGGGGUCUAAACUUUUUUCUAGGAAACAACAUGAGAUUGUAAGUAACUUAUGUUUUUUUCUUGUUGGAUCUUAAUGGGCAUUGAUUUCUAUUUGACAUUGAACUUAUAUGAUAAUGAGUUAUAUAUAUAUUAUUUGAAGUAAAGGCUAGACAUAUUCUGUGUCAAGUUAAAAAAAAAGGGAUGGAUAUGUUUUCCUAGAAUACUAUAG
Gastrolobium bilobum is the source of this 2093-nucleotide long non-coding RNA. RefSeq lists it as uncharacterized. The transcript is spliced from 3 exons. NCBI's taxonomy places the organism in Eukaryota, Viridiplantae, Streptophyta, Magnoliopsida, Fabales, Fabaceae. The record is from RefSeq and is a predicted model, not a curated record.